UCGAAAUCAAUGUGAUCCACGUUGAAUUAUGUCGUUAUUCGUGAAAAAUAUAAAUUAAUUUCGCUCUCAUAAGUUAAAUGUGUCGUUAUUGCUGAAAAAAACAAGAUGCAAAAUUUUUUUAUUUUUUCACCAAUAUCGUUGUAACACAUAAUAAGUCGUCCUUUCAGAAAAAGAAACCAACUUCACUUUAUGACAAUAUCGCUGUAACACGAACGUUAUAAGUUCGUUCUGAAAAAUUAAUUUCUGAAAAAAAACAAAAUGACUACACAACUGCACAACUGAGAUGUGUCGCUGUUGUGGUUAAAAAUAAUGUGACAUGACAAGUUGAAUAACGUCACAAUCUUAUCUCGACUGUUUAUUUUUCUACACAUCAGAAUAAAAUUUUAACACAAUAUGGUCAAUAACUUUACGCACAUUUCUGCAUACUCAACUUAAAAAUCGUGUUUUUUGAGUUAUGAGCGAUAUUUAUAUUAUUGCAUCAAAAGCCGACCGCAACCAUAAUUAACUUAUUGUCACAGUUUGAUCAGUAUACAUUCAUGCAAUACAUAUGGAUAUGGCUCGACGACUACCAAUUUCCGAGCGAUUAAUGAGAUUCCAGGCAAGCACGUGAUUAUGAGGUAAACGCUUCGCUUGAAGUUAUGUGCCUUAAUUUUCUGCUGCAGCACAACUGAGUCGACACCAACAGCAAGUUAGUCCUGGGGAAACUCUGCAUGCUUUUGUUUAUUUACUUAUGUAUUAUUUGAAUAUCCGGUUUGUAACCGUUGGUACGAAUAUUAACCGAUGAGUCGCAACGUUAGUCGACAACGAACGGUUAACCGAAUAGUCGAAAAUGAGCGGUUAAUCGAAUUGUCGAUGACUGACGACUAUCCGAAUAGUGCAAACCGAAUAUUAUUAUUCGAAUAAUGUCCUAUGUUAGUCGAAUACCAAGAGCUCUUGUAUGUAUAUAUAUAUAGUUUUGGUUGCUUCCUUAAAAAUAAAAAAAAAAUAAUAAUGAGGAUCUCUGUAA
Molecule: long non-coding RNA, 1006 nt
Organism: Zeugodacus cucurbitae (melon fly)
Lineage: Eukaryota; Metazoa; Arthropoda; Insecta; Diptera; Tephritidae
Exons: 2
Source: RefSeq, a predicted model, not a curated record